ACUCAUACCUUGCAGGGGAAAUACCAUGGUCAUGAAAGUGGUUUUCCCAGGGUGAGGCUCAUCCAUUGCACUUCAGGUGUGCUGAUCCCUAUGAUUUCCUCAAAUGUGGGGAACUCAACUGCAUAAUUUGUGUUAAUGGGGGAUUACAUUUGUGAUUUCCCA
RNAcentral lists this small nuclear RNA (162 nucleotides) under Pogona vitticeps (central bearded dragon). RNAcentral describes it as "U1 spliceosomal RNA (ENSPVIG00000001184.1)". It matches the Rfam family "U1 spliceosomal RNA". From Rfam's summary of the family: U1 is a small nuclear RNA (snRNA) component of the spliceosome (involved in pre-mRNA splicing). Lineage: Eukaryota; Metazoa; Chordata; Lepidosauria; Squamata; Agamidae. The record is from RNAcentral.